RNAcentral lists this ribosomal RNA (253 nucleotides) under uncultured bacterium. Its description in RNAcentral is "partial 16S ribosomal RNA". It matches the Rfam family "Bacterial small subunit ribosomal RNA", at positions 524 to 776 of the family's 1533-position model. The record is from RNAcentral.
UACGGAGGGAGCUAGCGUUGUUCGGAAAUACUGGGCGUAAAGCGAACGUAGGCGGCUUUUCAAGUCAGGGGUGAAAUCCCGGAGCUCAACUCCGGAACUGCCCUUGAAACUGGAUCACUAGAAUCCUGGAGAGGCGAGUGGAAUUCCGAGUGUAGAGGUGAAAUUCGUAGAUAUUCGGAAGAACACCAGUGGCGAAGGCGGCUCGCUGGACAGGUAUUGACGCUGAGGUUCGAAAGCGUGGGGAGCAAACAGG